AGUGAACGCUGGCGGUAGGCCUAACACAUGCAAGUCGAACGGCAGCACAGUAAGCGCUUGCUCUUACGGGUGGCGGGUGGCGGGCGGGUGAGGCAUACAUCGGAAUCUACUUUUUCGUGGGGGAUAACGUAGGGAAACUUACGCUAAUACCGCAUACGACCUACGGGUGAAAUCAGGGGAUCUUCGGACCUUGCGCGAUUGAAUGAGCCGAUGUCGCAUUAGCUAGUUGGCGGGGUAAAGGCCCACCAAGGCGACGAUCCGUAGCUGGUCUGAGAGGAUGAUCAGCCACACUGGAACUGAGACACGGUCCAGACUCCUACGGGAGGCAGCAGUAGGGAAUAUUGGACAAUGGGCGCAAGCCUGAUCCAGCAAUACCGCGUGGGUGAAGAAGGCCUUCGGGUUGUAAAGCUCUUUUGUUGGGAAAGAAAAGCAGCAGGUUAAUACCCCGCUGUUCUGACGGUACCCAAACAAUAAGCACCGGCUAACUUCGUG
RNAcentral lists this ribosomal RNA (492 nucleotides) under uncultured bacterium. Its description in RNAcentral is "partial 16S ribosomal RNA". It matches the Rfam family "Bacterial small subunit ribosomal RNA", at positions 29 to 507 of the family's 1533-position model. The record is from RNAcentral.